This 383-nucleotide ribosomal RNA is filed under the name uncultured eukaryote. Its description in RNAcentral is "partial 18S ribosomal RNA". It matches the Rfam family "Eukaryotic small subunit ribosomal RNA", at positions 592 to 976 of the family's 1831-position model. The record is from RNAcentral.
CAAUAGCGUAUAUUAAAGUUGUUGCAGUUAAAAAGCUCGUAGUCGGAUUUCUGGUAGGAGUGACCGUUCCGAACUUGAUUGUUCGUGUAUUGUGUUUUCUCCAGCCAUCCUUGUGGAGAACUUUUCUUGCAUUAAUUUGUAGGGAUUGGGACCCGCAUCGUUUACUGUGAAAAAAUUAGAGUGUUUAAAGCAGGCAAUCGCUUGAAUACAUUAGCAUGGAAUAAUAAGAUAGGACUUUGGUACUAUUUUGUUGGUUUGCAUACCAAAUUAAUGAUCAACAGGAACAGUUUGAGGAUAUUCGUAUGAACAUGUCAGAGGUGAAAUUCUUGGAUUUUGAUCAGACGAACUACUGCGAAAGCAUUUAUCAAGGAUGUUUUCAUUAA